RNAcentral lists this long non-coding RNA (308 nucleotides) under Chlamydomonas reinhardtii. Its description in RNAcentral is "long non-coding RNA (CREI_LNC001362)". Lineage: Eukaryota; Viridiplantae; Chlorophyta; Chlorophyceae; Chlamydomonadales; Chlamydomonadaceae. The record is from RNAcentral.
GCUGGGCGGCGCCGGACUGGGCAGUGGCGGUGAAGGCGCCGGGCUCGGCGGCUCCGGAGAAGGCGGCGGGCUGGGUGGCGCAGGCGAAGGCGGCGAGGGAGAUGGAGGAGAUGGCGAAGGAGGUGCCGGUGAUGGCGGCGGGCUGGGUGGCGCAGGUGAAGGCGGCGAGGGAGAUGGAGGAGAUGGCGAAGGAGGUGCCGGUGAUGGCGGCGGGCUGGGAGGUGUCGGGCUGGGAGGUGUCGGGCUGGGAGGUGUCGGGCUAGGCGGUGUCGGGCUGGGAGGCGGUGGGGAUGGAGGAGCAGGGCUAG